This 466-nucleotide ribosomal RNA is filed under the name uncultured bacterium. Its description in RNAcentral is "partial 16S ribosomal RNA". It matches the Rfam family "Bacterial small subunit ribosomal RNA", at positions 29 to 506 of the family's 1533-position model. The record is from RNAcentral.
ACGAACGCUGGCGGCGUGCUUAACACAUGCAAGUCGAACGGAAAGGCCCUGCUUUUGUGGGGUGCUCGAGUGGCGAACGGGUGAGUAACACGUGAGUAACCUGCCCUUGACUUUGGGAUAACUUCAGGAAACUGGGGCUAAUACCGGAUAGGAGCUCCUGCUGCAUGGUGGGGGUUGGAAAGUUUCGGCGGUUGGGGAUGGACUCGCGGCUUAUCAGCUUGUUGGUGGGGUAGUGGCUUACCAAGGCUUUGACGGGUAGCCGGCCUGAGAGGGUGACCGGCCAAAUUGGGACUGGGAUACGGCCGAGACCCCUACGGGGGGCAGGGGGGGGGAAUUUUGCACAAGGGGGGGAAGCGUGAUGAAGCAACGCCGGGGGGGGGAUGACGGCCUUCGGGUGGUAAACCGCUUUCGCCGGGGACGAAGGGGGGGGAAGGGAAAUGGGUAAAGAAGCACCGGCUAAUUACGU